Molecule: ribosomal RNA, 449 nt
Filed under: uncultured bacterium
Lineage: Bacteria
Description: partial 16S ribosomal RNA
Rfam family: Bacterial small subunit ribosomal RNA
Source: RNAcentral
AACGAACGCUGGCGGCAGGCUUAACACAUGCAAGCCGAACGAGAUCUUCGGAUCUAGUGGCGGACGGGUGAGGAACACGUGGGAACAUCCCUUUCAGUUCGGAAUAACGUUGGGAAACUAACGCUAAUACCGGAUACGUCCUUCGGGAGAAAGAUUUAUCGCUGAAAGAUUGGCCCGCGUCUGAUUAGCUAGUUGGUGAGGUAACGGCUCACCAAGGCUACGAUCAGUAGCUGGUCUGAGAGGAUGAUCAGCCACAUUGGGACUGAGACACGGCCCAAACUCCUACGGGAGGCAGCAGUGGGGAAUAUUGGACAAUGGGCGCAAGCCUGAUCCAGCCAUGCCGCGUGAGUGAUGACGGCCUUCGGGUUGUAAAGCUCUUUUGUCCGGGAAGAUAAUGACUGUACCGGAAGAAUAAGCCCCGGCAAACUUCGUGCCAGCAGCCGCCGUAA